Vicugna pacos (alpaca) is the source of this 640-nucleotide non-coding RNA. Lineage: Eukaryota; Metazoa; Chordata; Mammalia; Artiodactyla; Camelidae. The record is from RefSeq and is a predicted model, not a curated record.
GUCACCCGUUGCUGGGCAGAGAAUCUGGUAUUUGCAUCUCCCAAUCGCUGCCUGCCGAAGCGGGGCGGGGCUCGGGCUGCGGGGCUGGGCGGUCUCGCGGCUGGGAUUGGGGGUGUCGGAUGAGGUCGGUUUCUUUUCUUAGGUUUAGGAAGAGCGGGAGGGUGGGGAGACGCCGAGCGUGCUUCCCUAUCUGGCUCCGAAAGCUUGUCCCCGCCCCGCGCAGCUUUUGAAAUUUUAGCUUACUCAGUGACACCUGCCGCCAGGCUCCACGAAAGUCCUGAGAAAGAAGGGAAUAUGACGCCCACUUCCAGACAGUACACCCUCUCAUUGCCUGCAGAGCUUCACUUGGAGCACGAGGGCAGAGCAGCAAUUCCAUGAGAUCAGAGGACCCACCUGAUCUCCACUCUCCCCAGCACCUAGCAGAUCUUGGUGCAACACAUCUCAGUAUCUGUUCAAUGAGGAAGGAGCCAACUCAGGUUUGGGCGUGGCUGUCCCAGACACCAUCAUGCAACUCUACCCACCCCAGCUGUACCUAGCUCCAAAACAUCAGACUCUGAACUGGCAUGGUCCUCAAAGAUGUUCAUAAUAGAGAAAACAAUAUGAACAAGGUAAUUUGGUUUUUGAUUCAUCUAAGUGUCUU